Molecule: non-coding RNA, 414 nt
Organism: Meleagris gallopavo (turkey)
Lineage: Eukaryota; Metazoa; Chordata; Aves; Galliformes; Phasianidae
Source: RefSeq, a predicted model, not a curated record
CUUUGUUUUUAAAAGGGGAAUUCUUCGGGGAUUUGCUUUUUCUCUCUUCUGCCUUUGAUUAGUAAAUCAGCAAAAGGCUAUGCUUCAAAUGGAGAUGCAGUAGGUACUUGCUCUUCUCAGCAGUGCAGGUCAUGAAUUCAUCUGUGGCUUUAUUUAAAUACCUCCUGGCUGACAGUUUCUUCAAUGAAAUGACCCCAGAGUGUUAUCAGCUCACUAGCAGGGACAUCAAGGCCUUUGACAGCAAAGGAGCAGUAAGCAACACGAGUUCACUACAGUGGCCAGCUAUGGAUGGUGUCAGCAGAGCACACAGUUUUUACCACCUGGACCUGAUGGUAUUUUUUGUGUUUACAAGUUUGGCUUUUUUUCCCAUUUACUUUUCAAAAAUAAUUGCCCUGGUUUCCAAAAUACAAUAAA